RNAcentral lists this long non-coding RNA (391 nucleotides) under Gossypium barbadense (sea-island cotton). Its description in RNAcentral is "long non-coding RNA (GBAR_LNC022706)". The record is from RNAcentral. Lineage: Eukaryota; Viridiplantae; Streptophyta; Magnoliopsida; Malvales; Malvaceae.
AGCACACGAAUCCUAUCAUCAAUAUCCGUCAAAAUUUGCUUAACCAAUCGACCCACCUCAUUCAAAUCCAUCGUAUUCAAACUCUGCAAUAUCCCAUUUCCACUCAGGCUUUCGAACAUGACUUUGUUCAACUCCUUCCGGUAAUUCUCCUCCUGCAGUUUCCAAAGCUGUUGAGUGUCUUUGGCUAAGCUUUGCUCAAGGAAACUCUCUUGGUUCAACAUCUUAUUGUUUUGUUUCGAAAGGGGCAGCUGCUUGAACUCGGACAGCAAGCGUCGGGCAUCCUCGAGGGACGGCCAUACCUCCGCUUGAGAGCCGAAAUCAGGGGAGUUGAUAAUUGCAAAAGCUUCAAUCCCACAAAGGGUAUGAGUUCACGCACCUUCUUCACCAGACC